CUGAACUACACUGGUCAGGGCUCCCCACUGGAAGAUUAUUAAAAAUUAAAUAAAAUUAAGAGCAUCAGGCAGGACAAGACAGACAAAAACGAGAAGUAGCUGUACCUGCACCUUCUCCUGCAGCGCGUUGUAAACCUGGUAGAUGGCCCUGAUGUCCUUCAUGACUCCGUCCUUGUCAAAGAAGUCAGUGCUAGAGAACAGCAGGAGAGAGGUCACAGGAAGGCAGCUGCCAUGACCCUGAAAGGCACUUCCUGCCCUCAACCGUCAUCUGGUCUUUAAUGGGAGCUCCCAGGUGACAGUGCUCAGCCACAGUGUCACCCCACUAAGCUUACAGGAGAGAAAUAAAAAGGACCCACGUGACUAAGGCCAUUUAAAAAAUAAGAGUGACCACAGCUUAGGAUCUCAGAAAUACACAUACUCUAGCCAAACUUUUAUAUCAACUACAAAAACAGUUGUGGCAAUUGAUUU
This is a long non-coding RNA of Pipistrellus kuhlii (Kuhl's pipistrelle), 468 nucleotides long. RefSeq lists it as uncharacterized. Lineage: Eukaryota; Metazoa; Chordata; Mammalia; Chiroptera; Vespertilionidae. The record is from RefSeq and is a predicted model, not a curated record. The transcript is spliced from 2 exons.